Molecule: ribosomal RNA, 755 nt
Filed under: uncultured Bacillota bacterium
Lineage: Bacteria; Bacillati; Bacillota
Description: bacterial SSU rRNA
Rfam family: Bacterial small subunit ribosomal RNA
Source: RNAcentral
GUCGAGCGGGACACUUGUUGUAGCAAUACAGUGAGUGUUUAGCGGCAGACGAGUGAGUAACACGUAAGAAAUCUACCCCAAAAAAGGGAACAACCUGCCGAAAGGUGGGCUAAUACUCUAUAUAAUCCCAGGUUGGCAUCAUCCAGGGAUGAAAGGCGUAAGCCGUUUUGGGAGGAUCUUGCGGCCUAUCAGCUAGUUGGUGGGGUAAAGGCCCACCAAGGCUAUGACGGGUAGCCGGCCUGAAAGGGCGAUCGGCCACGGAGGCACUGAGAAACGGGCCUCACUCCUACGGGAGGCAGCAGUGGGGAAUUUUGGACAAUGGGGGAAACCCUGAUCCAGCAACGCUGCGUGAAGGACGAAGGUCUUCGGAUUGUAAACUUCUUUUGUUCGGGACGAAAGCCCGCAAGGGUUUGACGGUACCGGAUGAAUAAGCCACGGCUAACUACGUGCCAGCAGCCGCGGUAAGACGUAGGUGGCGAGCGUUACUCGGAAUCACUAGGCGUAAAGCGCGUGUAGGCGGGUGCUUAAGUCUGCUGUGAAAUCUCCCGGCUCAACUGGGAGGGGUCAGCAGAUACUGAGCGUCUAGAGUGAGGCAGGGGGUACUGGAAUUCCCGGUGUAGCGGUGAAAUGCGUAGAUAUCGGGAGGAACAUCAAUGGCGAAGGCAGGUACCUGGGCCUUUACUGACGCUAAGACGCGAAAGCUAGGGGAGCAAACAGGAUUAGAUACCCUGGUAGUCCUAGCUGUAAACGAUGAG